UACGUAGGGUGCGAGCGUUAAUCGGAAUUACUGGGCGUAAAGCGUGCGCAGGCGGUGAUGUAAGUCAGGUGUGAAAUCCCCGGGCUUAACCUGGGAACUGCCUUUGUGACUGGCGGGCUAGAGUAUGGCAGAGGGGGGUAGAAUUCCACGUGUAGCAGUGAAAUGCGUAGAGAUGUGGAGGAAUACCGAUGGCGAAGGCAGCCCCCUGGGCCAAUACUGACGCUCAUGCACGAAAGCGUGGGGAGCAAACAGG
RNAcentral lists this ribosomal RNA (253 nucleotides) under uncultured bacterium. Its description in RNAcentral is "partial 16S ribosomal RNA". It matches the Rfam family "Bacterial small subunit ribosomal RNA", at positions 524 to 776 of the family's 1533-position model. The record is from RNAcentral.